ACUCUGCUUCGGGGUCCGACUAAUCCAUGCGAGUCAUGGGGCUCCCUUUUGGGAGCACCGGCGAACGGCUCAGCAACACGUGGCUAACCUACCCUCGGGUGGGGGAUAACCUCGGGAAACUGAGGCUAAUCCCCCAUAGGGGAGGAGGUCUGGAAUGAUCCCUCCCCGAAAGGCAGUAAGCCGCCCGAGGAUGGGGCUGCGGCGGAUUAGGUAGUUGGUGGGGUAAUGGCCCACCAAGCCUACGAUCCGUACGGGCCCUGAGAGGGGGAGCCCGGAGAUGGACACUGAGACACGGGUCCAGGCCCUACGGGGCGCAGCAGGCGCGAAACCUCCGCAAUGCGCGAAAGCGCGACGGGGGGACCCCGAGUGCCCUGCCUCUGGCAGGGCUUUUCCGGAGUGUAAACAGCUCCGGGAAUAAGGGCUGGGCAAGUCCGGUGCCAGCAGCCGCGGUAAUACCGGCGGCCCAAGUGGUGGCCACUGUUAUUGGGCCUAAAGCGUCCGUAGCCGGCCCGGUAAGUCUCUGCUUAAAUCCCGCGGCUUAACCGCGGGGCUGGCAGAGAUACUGCCGGGCUUGGGACCGGGAGAGGCCGGGGGUACCCCAGGGGUAGCGGUGAAAUGCGUUGAUCCCUGGGGGACCACCUGUGGCGAAGGCGCCCGGCUGGAACGGGUCCGACGGUGAGGGACGAAGGCCGGGGGAGCAAACCGGAUUAGAUACCCGGGUAGUCCCGGCUGUAAACUCUGCGGACUAGGUGUCGCGUGCCCUUCGGGGGCACGCGGUGCCGAAGGGAAGCCGUUAAGUCCGCCGCCUGGGGAGUACGGUCGCAAGACUGAAACUUAAAGGAAUUGGCGGGGGAGCACU
RNAcentral lists this ribosomal RNA (859 nucleotides) under Methanocaldococcus infernus. Its description in RNAcentral is "bacterial SSU rRNA". It matches the Rfam family "Archaeal small subunit ribosomal RNA", at positions 24 to 880 of the family's 1478-position model. Lineage: Archaea; Methanobacteriati; Methanobacteriota; Methanococci; Methanococcales; Methanocaldococcaceae. The record is from RNAcentral.